AUGAGGUGGAAACGGACAGAGCUGGCGUAUCUGGUCUGCAUUCACCCGUUUGUUGCUGCGCGUUGGGUUUCUAGCCACCAGACUGGGGUUGGUUGCCCAUCUGUGCAGUGGCUGAUGGGGCAUUUGCAGGCGGAGUGCGCUGAGACGUUCGAGGUAGCUGCGUGAGCUCGGCUUUGAGGCCAGCCCUUCGGGGUCUGGUACCCGGGUCGGGGGAGUGCUGUUUACUUUGGGUGUGCGUGUGCAAUGUUUCGGGUCUUUGUUGGCUCGAGCUGAGGGUCGGUGGCGGUCGCAUGCGACACGUACUGUCAACCGGUUCGGUCCAGCUUGGGCUCUCGUUGUGCGUUCUCGGUGUAAAAGCCGGUCAUCUGUCCGACCCGUCUUGAAACACGGACCAAGGAGUUUAGCGUAUGCGCGAGUCAUUGGGUGUUGAAAACCUAAAGGCGUAAUGAAAGUGAAGGCAUCCUUGCGGAGCUGAUGUGUGAUCCCUGGCACUGCGGUGUUGGGGCGCAACAUAGUCCCGUCUCGAUCGCAUGCGAUGGGGCGGAGACAGAGCGUAUGCGCUGAGACCCGAAAGAUGGUGAACUAUUCCUGAGCAGGAUGAAGCCAGAGGAAACUCUGGUGGAAGUCCGAAGCGAUUCUGACGUGCAAAUCGAUCG
RNAcentral lists this ribosomal RNA (656 nucleotides) under Heterodera salixophila. Its description in RNAcentral is "eukaryotic LSU rRNA". It matches the Rfam family "Eukaryotic large subunit ribosomal RNA", at positions 408 to 904 of the family's 3401-position model. The record is from RNAcentral. Lineage: Eukaryota; Metazoa; Nematoda; Chromadorea; Rhabditida; Heteroderidae.